RNAcentral lists this ribosomal RNA (331 nucleotides) under Meloidogyne sp. NRCB. RNAcentral describes it as "LSU rRNA". It matches the Rfam family "Eukaryotic large subunit ribosomal RNA", at positions 648 to 963 of the family's 3401-position model. The record is from RNAcentral. Lineage: Eukaryota; Metazoa; Nematoda; Chromadorea; Rhabditida; Meloidogynidae.
CCCGUCCUUAAACACGGACCAAGGAGUUUAUCGUGUGCGCAAGUUUUUGGGUGUUACAAACUUAAAAGCGAAAUGAAAGUAAAUGACUCUUUAGAGUCUGAUGUGCGAUCUUGUAAAAAAGUGUAGCAUGGCCCCAUUCUAACUGUUUACAGUAGGGUGGCGGAAGAGCGUACGCGGUGAGACCCGAAAGAUGGUGAACUAUUCCUGAGCAGGACGAAGCCAGAGGAAACUCUGGUGGAAGUCCGAAGCGGUUCUGACGUGCAAAUCGAUCGUCUGACUUGGGUAUAGGGGCGAAAGACUUAUCGAACCAUCUAGUAGCUGUUUUCCUUUC